This 471-nucleotide ribosomal RNA is filed under the name Lamprosomatinae sp. MSL2007. Its description in RNAcentral is "partial 16S ribosomal RNA". The stretch from base 1 to 166 matches the Rfam family "Archaeal large subunit ribosomal RNA", at positions 1889 to 2101 of the family's 2987-position model. Lineage: Eukaryota; Metazoa; Arthropoda; Insecta; Coleoptera; Chrysomelidae. The record is from RNAcentral.
CGCCUGUUUAACAAAAACAUGUCCUUUUGAUUAAUAAUUUAAGGUUUGGCCUGCUCUAUGAUAUUUUAAAUGGCCGCGGUAUUUUGACCGUGCUAAGGUAGCAUAAUCAUUAGUUUUUUAAUUGAAAGCUUGUAUGAAAGGUUUAAUGAGAAAUUAUCUGUCUCCAAAUUAUUUUUUAUAAUUUUAUCUUUAAGUGAAAAAGCUUAAAUGGUUUUAAAAGACGAGAAGACCCUAUAGAAUUUUGUAUUUUUUUAAAAUGGCAGUUUAUGGAAAUUUUGAUUUGUUUUGAGGAAUUAUUUAGUUGGGGUGACUAGAAAAUUUAGGUAACUUUUUUUUAUUAUUUAAUUCAUUAAUUAAUGAUUUUAAGAUCCUUGUUGAGAUUAUAAGAAUUAAUUACCUUAGGGAUAACAGCGUAAUGAUUUUUUAGAGUUCAAAUUAAAAAAAAAGCUUGCGACCUCGAUGUUGGAUUAA